UACGUAGGGUGCGAGCGUUGUCCGGAAUUACUGGGCGUAAAGAGCUCGUAGGUGGUUUGUCGCGUUGUUCGUGAAAACUCACAGCUCAACUGUGGGCGUGCGGGCGAUACGGGCAGACUGGAGUACUGCAGGGGAGACUGGAAUUCCUGGUGUAGCGGUGAAAUGCGCAGAUAUCAGGAGGAACACCGGUGGCGAAGGCGGGUUGCUGGGCUGAUGACUGACGCUGAGGUGCGAAAGCGUGGGGAGCAAACAGG
RNAcentral lists this ribosomal RNA (254 nucleotides) under uncultured bacterium. Its description in RNAcentral is "partial 16S ribosomal RNA". It matches the Rfam family "Bacterial small subunit ribosomal RNA", at positions 524 to 776 of the family's 1533-position model. The record is from RNAcentral.